This 594-nucleotide ribosomal RNA is filed under the name Orchestia gammarellus. RNAcentral's name for it is "bacterial SSU rRNA". It matches the Rfam family "Eukaryotic small subunit ribosomal RNA", at positions 638 to 1138 of the family's 1831-position model. The record is from RNAcentral. Lineage: Eukaryota; Metazoa; Arthropoda; Malacostraca; Amphipoda; Talitridae.
AUCUACUCAGAGUGCUUGGGUGGAGGUUUGUGUCUGGGGCCUUGCGCGUUCGUUUCGUGCGUGCGCGCUCGUGCUUUGGCGCUUCCUCUUUUGCUCACCUCUGUGCUCUUACUCGGAGGAGGUGACUUCUGUGUCACCUUGAGUAAAUCAUGGUGCUCACAGCAGUCGUGCGGGCCCUGUGCCCUGUGAACAGUCUAUGCGGACUGAAUUGGUUUUGCAAGGCAUGACGAAACAUGACGUCGCUGCUGGUCGCGAGUGUGAGGGCGCAGCUCUCGUGGUUGCGCCGAGCGGUUUGCCAGUAGUGACGUAAUGAUCAAUGGAGACGGUAGCUGGCAUUGGUAUUGCGCGGCGAGAGGUGAAAUUCUGCGACCCCCGCAAGACCUCCUAAAGCGAAGGCGUCUGCCAAGGACGUGUUCACCAAUCAUGAACGAAAGUCAGAGGAUCGAAGGCGAUCAGAUACCGCCCUAGUUCUGACCCUAAACGAUGCCAACCAUCAAUCCGCGUGAGCACCCUAUCUAACGGGCUCGGCGGGCAGCUCCCUUCUUCCGGGAAACCAGAGUUUUUGGGUUCCGGGGGGAGUCUGGUUGCAAAGCU